GCUGCAAUGCAGUCUACAGGAUUCAGUUUGUCGGUGGUGCAUCGAGUGGUAAACGAUCGCAAGACGUGAACUAUUCGUUUGUACCUAUCGGUGAAUGUAUUUUCUGUGGACGAGCGUCACGACCGAUUGACCUGCUAACAGAAAGGUGGAAUGUUUGUGGACUGAUGCCUUCGGGCGUCAGUGACCCGGCAACCACUCUGUUUGAGUCAGGACGAUCGAGAAAAGACCGCGUCGGAUUUUCGCAUGUGUAUUGUGCAUAUGGACUGAAUUUUAACUUGUAAUUCAUGCUUGCAUGAUUUGCAGACCCUCGGUUCAGACUGCCUUUACACGUUGCAUUGACGCAUAUGGUCAGUGGCGUCUGUGUCAGUUACCCACCCGACCCGUCUUGAAACACGGACCAAGGAGUCUAACAUGUGCGCGAGUCAUUGGGUUAAAAACCCAAAGGCGUAAUGAAAGUGAAGCAUAGUGGGAUUCCUUGUCUUCGGACUUGGACGCACCACUGUCCCGUCUGAUCUGCAUGUCANAUAGGCGGAGAAUGAGCGUACACGUUGGGACCCGAAAGAUGGUGAACUAUGCCUGAGCAGGAUGAAGCCAGAGGAAACUCUGGUGGAAGUCCGUAGCGGU
This 624-nucleotide ribosomal RNA is filed under the name Alaimus sp. PDL-2005. RNAcentral's name for it is "eukaryotic LSU rRNA". It matches the Rfam family "Eukaryotic large subunit ribosomal RNA", at positions 374 to 884 of the family's 3401-position model. Lineage: Eukaryota; Metazoa; Nematoda; Enoplea; Enoplida; Alaimidae. The record is from RNAcentral.